This 301-nucleotide ribosomal RNA is filed under the name uncultured bacterium. RNAcentral's name for it is "partial 16S ribosomal RNA". It matches the Rfam family "Bacterial small subunit ribosomal RNA", at positions 509 to 807 of the family's 1533-position model. The record is from RNAcentral.
CAGCAGCCGCGGUAAUGCGUAGGUGGCAAGCGUUGUCCGGAAUUAUUGGGCGUAAAGGGCUCGCAGGCGGUUUGUUAAGACAGAUGUGAAAUCCCCGGGCUCAACCUGGGAACUGCAUUUGUGACUGGCAAGCUAGAGUGUGGCAGAGGGGGGUGGAAUUCCGCGUGUAGCAGUGAAAUGCGUAGAUAUGCGGAGGAACACCGAUGGCGAAGGCAGCCCCCUGGGCCAACACUGACGCUCAUGCACGAAAGCGUGGGGAGCAAACAGGAUUAGAUACCCCCGUAGUCCCUGUCUCUUAUAC